CGUCUCCCGGAGCACUAACCAGGAAAUGUGAGCGGGGCUGAUGGAAGCUGAUAGGCAGGACUGGAGUGUGAGCCACAGCACUGGAUGUGACAGCAGCGGGCAGAGGAGCACUUAGCAGCUUAUUCAGUGUCCGAUUCGGAUUCCGGCAAAGAUCCAAGUAUGGAAUGCUGCCGUCGGGCAGCUCCUGGCACACCGCUGCUCUUUCUGGCUUUCCUACUCCUGAGUUCCAGGACUGCACGCUCAGAGGAAGACCGUGAAGGCCUCUGGGAUGCCUGGGGCCCUUGGAGUGAGUGUUCCCGCACCUGUGGCGGAGGUGCCUCCUAUUCCCUGAGACGCUGCCUGAGCAGCAAGAGCUGUGAAGGAAGAAAUAUUCGAUACAGAACAUGCAGUAAUGUGGACUGCCCACCAGAAGCAGGUGAUUUCCGAGCUCAACAGUGUUCUGCUCAUAAUGAUGUCAAGUACCAUGGCCAGUUUUAUGAAUGGCUUCCUGUAU
Molecule: long non-coding RNA, 493 nt
Filed under: Rattus norvegicus (Norway rat)
Lineage: Eukaryota; Metazoa; Chordata; Mammalia; Rodentia; Muridae
Description: long non-coding RNA NONRATT022362
Source: RNAcentral